CAACAGGCUUUUUUAAAAGCCACUGGGGAACUAAAAACACAGAACU
Triticum aestivum (bread wheat) is the source of this 46-nucleotide non-coding RNA. Lineage: Eukaryota; Viridiplantae; Streptophyta; Magnoliopsida; Poales; Poaceae. The record is from Rfam.